Molecule: long non-coding RNA, 965 nt
Organism: Triticum dicoccoides
Lineage: Eukaryota; Viridiplantae; Streptophyta; Magnoliopsida; Poales; Poaceae
Exons: 3
Source: RefSeq, a predicted model, not a curated record
GCAACGCUCGAGAAGGUGAUGUCUGGCAGGGAUCAACACACUCUUUGCCACCCAGUACGGCCUGCCCAUGGUUGAUGGCAAGGGCAGGUGCAUUGGGUUGUCUCCAAGAAGCACAAGGCCAGGGCAUCCAAUUGGGUAACCCGGUGCAACUGCUGUUCCCCAAUGAGUUCUUUGUCAUAGAAUGACCUUUUGGUAGCAGUACUGAAUAAUAAAAAAAUUGUUGCUGUUUGCGCGUCUCCGUCGUCCCUCACUCUUGCGUUUCUUUCAAUCGACUGGGCGCGACGGUGGGUGAGGCGGGAUAGGUGGCACUGGGGCGCAGUGGAGUGGCUAGGCGAGAAUGUCUCGGCAGGGGACGGCGACCAUCGCAUCCGCUGAUAUGUUCACCAUCAUCAUUUAUAUGUAAUCUCAAAAACAAAGAAAUGCAUCCAGAUCUUGCAGGUUACACCAGGUUCUGUAGCUAUUAUUAUAUCUGUAAUUUCUACCUUUCAUGUAAUUUAUCACCAUUUAAUUACUAUAUGUGAUAGAUAUUUCUCUACUUAUUUUUAUCUUAUAUGAUGUGUUGUUCUACCUACGUAUGUUGCAUUCAGAGUACCGUUAGUUCUUGUAUGCUUGCAUCUUUGAUUGCGUAGACAUGCAGAGUGUCCUUUAAAUUUCUGUUAUUAUAGUUGGGAGGGUUACUCCUCAUUCUGGAGCCCCAAGUCAGAUUGAUAGAUUUUAUAUAUGUAAACAUUGAUGACCAUAUCAGUACCUUUGCCACUAUCUCUCUUUUGUUUGUGUAUUCCUACAGCCUGAUCAGCUUCAAAUACCUACUCUGACAGACAAUUCACGGUAAACUCGAUUAUUAACAUCCCUAUUCGUUGCAUUAAUUAUUUAUUUCUAGAGAUUUCUUUCUCAUAGCUGUUAUAUUCUUCCUUGCCCAUAAAUUAUUAUUUUGUUUAAUGAUAUCAAGCAUUCUUAUCUGGUAG